UACAAAUAAAAUUUGGUCCAAUUUUUUUGUGUACGAACUUGAUCAAACAAGGUUCAAUUUUGGGCCUGAUAUAAGAACCCUAAUUUCGUCCGUCACUGGGUACCCAGUAAGCCUCUUAUAAAGCGAACCCACGCGUCAACUGAAGCCGCAUACCACGGUGGCGCGUCUUUCUCGAAUGUGGACAGUAAAACACAAUUGUUUUCAAUUCGAUCCACGCGUACGUUUAAGGCUUCGUCAUAUUCGUUAUCGUCGAUUUAUUUAUUAACAAAAUUCUUCUUUGAAAGUGUUGUGUAAAGUGUGUUGUGUUUAUCGGACUUGCUUGCUAGUCAGUCAGCCAUCCAGUCAAUUAGAACGAAAGCAAUCGAACUAGCAACGAUGUUUUACUACUUUGAGCGUGGCUUAGAAAUGCGAACGAUCGUUCGUAAAUUGAAUCAUAGUGGUCGGUGAAAUAAGAUCAUUGAAAUACGUUCUGAUGCUAUUGCUACUGCAUCAGGUGGUCAGAAAAUUGCCAUUGCGACUGUCCUCUAAUGACCUUGAAUAUCAUACCUAUAAUCUUUACAUGUGCGAGAUCUUAAAAUUAACACCGGACAGUUUUUUUUCAUUAUCUCACUCGUAUACUUCAAGAACAAAAUAAAUACGCAGCAUUUUGAACAUUCUGAAAAAUAAAUGGUACGUAUACAACAACGCUCGGGAUCAUCAAAGAUCGUGGAUAGGAUAUUGAUAUCUAAUUAAUAUUGUAGUAAUCUUUGGUAAUCCUACCUCAACGAGAAAAUGCGUAUUAGUCAUUUUUUGUCUAAACUCGUAGUAGAACCUUUUCCGAUCGAUACCUGUAUUAGGUAUAUACCUGAAGCGUGAGAUACAAAUCGAAACAGGUGUACGGUUGCUAAGAGAACAACACCGGAUGUCUACCUUUGGUAGUCGAUUUUUGUUAUCUCAACGAACAAUCGUCCAGAAUCAAUAAGAGUUAAUCAACGAUUUGAAAAAUAAUUCGUUAGAACGAAUAUCUUAGAAGAGAAACAAUAUGGCCUUGGCAAAACUUAAAAGUUUAAUCGACAAUGGUUUAAAAAAUGUGUCGACGCCUUUGGAUCGUACCGUUAAUUUAGAACCGGAAGUAGGCAUCAGAAUUGUCCAUUCGCCAAACGAAAAAACUCUCUGCGUAACCGUCAUUGGUGCUAGACAUCUACCGCAAAAUUUUGGAUUCACCAGAGUCAACAGUUACGUCGUUAAGGUGAAGCUGAUACCGAGUAAAGAAAAAUUCGAGACUACGACGAGGAACGAAUCCUGGCCACGUUGGAACGAAGAAUUCACUUUUCAUUUGCGAAAAGAAACGAAAAUCAAGUUUGGUAAGUCGAAAGUCGUCGAGGAAGAAAUAAAUGGUUCGAAAUUCAUCGUAGUCACGCUCUACGCCAUUCUCGAAGAUAAACCUUUGAUUGCUACGGAAAAGAAGGAGGCAGAUAAGGAGAAAAAUUUAUCUCCUAUGAAAGAGUGUGCAAAGAAGACUAGUAAAAAGGGUCAGGAAGGAUCAUCGAAUGAUCAUCAAGAUGGUUGCAAGAAUAAAAUAUUUGGUCAAUUUUUUAGUAAAGGACAAGAGAAAAAUUUCGAAGAUCAAAUAAGCGAAAGGAAAAUCUUUGACAAAAGACGAACAGUCGGUGCUGUUACGAUAUCACUCGAUUCAAAAAACUUUACGAUAAAACCACCAAAACCGAAACACGCCAGUGAUGUAUCAACCGGUGAAUUGUGGAGACCACUCAAACCGAUCAGCAGUGGUAUUGCUGUUGCCGAAGACAAAAAAGAAAAUAAAAAGGGAAAACUCGAGUUGUCCCUUUGUCUGGAAAAAACGGACAAAAAGGAAGAAACGAGUGGAAUUUUGGUAUUAUGUCUCCAUCGUAUGAGAUGUUCAUUACAAACAAUGCACGAACACGAAUUAUUGAAAGGACAAAUGUACCUGAAAAUGUCAGUCAUCGAGAGCGGCAGGAUAACGCAUUUUUGGAAAAGCGGUCGUUUCGGUCCUUGCGUUUCGAUGAAAUUUUCACCAGACAUGGCUAGGGUCUCUGUAGAAAAUCCUUUCGAUGGUGCACUCAAGGACGUUAGCUUCGUAAUUAAAUACGUCUCGAAAAAUAAAAUGGGUAAAAAAACGACAGUUGGUCAUUUUGCGAUUGGACCCGACGUUGGUGGGCCUUACGCCGAGCAAUGGAAACAAGCACUAGCGAAACCAGGACAACAAAUAACGAAAUGGCAAUCAUUUGAGAAGUCCCCGUCAGGCCACGCUCAUUUUCAAGGAAGUCUCCGUCGGACCAUAGAAAUAUCGUGUUAUACGCUGUCAGCCAGCGGUGGCUGACGCGGCCUAAACGGAAAGUCUAGUGUCCGCUACUGAUGGCGGACGUGGCGCUCAACGUGUUAAGAGUGACGCCGUACGGGGUAACGAGACACUUUGAGAAGCCCUAAUUGAAUGAACGUGAUUGUAGUGGUCAUAUUAACUAGUGAUGACGUCCAAAAAUAAAUAUUAUAUUUAAGAUCUAUUGUCGCGCAAAAUAUGUAUUUUUUAUGCAACAUUAUAUCAUAGACGUAUUUCUAUUUUUUCAUACAAAUAAUAAUAUAAAUGUUUAAUAUGUGACAUCGAUAAAUAAGUAGACGCAGCUUUAACAGUUAACGUAUGCUUAUGGGUGGUGCCAUUUUAAUUUAAUGUAUAUAUUAUUUGACUUGUUUUAUUUUCCUCGAGUAUAAAUGUAAUUAUCGAGAUAUGCGACAUUAUGCGUGCAGAGAGAAUUAUUUUUAAAAAUUCGAUGUGUGUAUUAUUAAUAAUAUAUUUUAUUCUAUAUAUGUGUA
This 2826-nucleotide unclassified non-coding RNA is filed under the name Polistes dominula (European paper wasp). Its description in RNAcentral is "uncharacterized LOC107069578, transcript variant X1". Lineage: Eukaryota; Metazoa; Arthropoda; Insecta; Hymenoptera; Vespidae. The record is from RNAcentral.